UGGGGAAUAUUGCACAAUGGAGGGAACCCUGAUCCAGCGACGCCGCGUGAGUGAUGAAGGACUUCGGUUUGUAAAACUCUGUUCCAUGGGAAGAAAAGGACUGUAGCAUAGGAGAAAGCUCCGGCUAAAUACGUGCCAGCAGCCGCGGUAAUACGGAUGGAGCGAGCGUUGUUCGGAAUUACUGGGCGUAAAGGGUGCGUAGGCGGCUUUACAAGUUGGAUGUGAAAGAUUGGGGCUCAACCACGAACGUGCGUCCAAAACUGCAAGGCUUGAGUGAAGGAGAGGUAAGUGGAAUUCCUGGUGUAGCGGUGAAAUGCGUAGAUAUCAGGAGGAAUACCGGUGGCGAAGGCGGCUUACUGGACUUAAACUGACGCUGAGGCACGAAAGCGUGGGGAGCAAACAGG
Molecule: ribosomal RNA, 404 nt
Filed under: Fusobacteriota bacterium
Lineage: Bacteria; Fusobacteriati; Fusobacteriota
Description: Fusobacteria bacterium partial 16S ribosomal RNA
Rfam family: Bacterial small subunit ribosomal RNA
Source: RNAcentral